This is a long non-coding RNA of Patiria miniata (bat star), 842 nucleotides long. RefSeq lists it as uncharacterized. NCBI's taxonomy places the organism in Eukaryota, Metazoa, Echinodermata, Asteroidea, Valvatida, Asterinidae. The record is from RefSeq and is a predicted model, not a curated record. The transcript has 2 exons.
CGCGAACCAACUCGUACGCGGGCCGUUUUAGGAGUGGUUUCGAGGAUUGGGUUGGCAUGGUUGGGAAGAAUUUGGGAAUAGUGUGACGGGUAGUCCGUAGUUCAAUGUGUGACCGUUGUGUGUGAUUGGGAGUGAACCCGUGAAUGAUGAUAAUAAAGUAACUGAUUUUUGUAGUUAGACGAGUGUUGUAUCGUUUUGUGCAUACCUGUACUGUAGCCUUGUCACGUCAAAUUUAAUUCCAUAUAUUAAUGCAACGAUGUACCAGUUGCAUUUUUCGUGUUUUUUUAAUCAAUGUACCUGUCAGUCAAUUAAUUGUCACCAUUGUCAAACUGACCCAAUUGACCUCCCCAUUGUUUUAAUUUACAAAAUAUAAUUUGGAUACAUAAUAAUUAGGACUAAAAAAUAAUCGGACCCAAGCAAAACAUUGAUUUUUAGUGACCCAAGAAAAUCGCAUUUGACCCAAGAAACCUCGCAUUUCCGGUGAAAUUAUAUAAAAUUCAGAUUUUAACAAAAAAUAAAAAUCAACUCCCCAUUUUUUCUUUUUUACAAAAUAUUAUUUGGAUAUACAAUAAUUAGGACUAAAAAACUAUCUGACCCAAGCAAAAACUGGCGGACACUGUCCGUACAACUGUAUAAGCAUGCGUGAUGCUAUAUUCCUUUUUUUAUAGUAGCUCCUUUUUAUACAAUAGACCUCGCAAAUAUCGGUGUUUUCUUGUCAUUUUACUUGUCUAACCAACCAGCAAUUGUACCGCGGCAUACACAGUGCGCGGUGCGGCGGGAACCAAUCAUACUGGUUAUCGCGAAGACAACUUCCCAAUCAAUCAAGCGAACUUGUAAAAAAA